Bos taurus (domestic cattle) is the source of this 424-nucleotide long non-coding RNA. The record is from Ensembl. Lineage: Eukaryota; Metazoa; Chordata; Mammalia; Artiodactyla; Bovidae.
CAGGAAUCGAACCCAUGUCGUCCUGCAUUGGCAGGCAGAUUCUCAGCCACUGGACCACCAGGGAAGUCCCAUUGUUGGUGCAAUCUGGCAACCUUCACCAGGGUUUACACUGCUUCCUUUGGCUCAGAAACUGUACCUCCAAGCACAGUCUUGAAGCCCUAACUGAAGCCCUUUGUGAGGCUGGAAACUGAGGCCAUUGACUGAAGAUUGCUUAGGAGAGAGACCAGAAACAGCCUCACGCCCACAGCGGGGACGGGUGAGACGCGUGCCGUACAGCUCUCCACGGCUCUCCACGGAGCUGGGGCAGGUGGUGGAUUCUUUACCACUGAGUCACCGGGGAAGCCCAUGAAAUGCACACGUGGUUCAGCAGUAGAGAAUCUGCCUGCCAAUGCAGGAGACCCUGGAGACUCAGGUUUGAUCCCUG